AGAUGUGGUUCCAACUCUUUGAAAACAUAACCCAUGAUGUUGAAACAGACUACUGUAAAGCCCUUCCCUGGGUUGGUACUCACCUGGACCAUCACUCACAUCCUUCUCCCAGAUGUUGCUUCCACUCCUUUGUCUUCAAAUGCAACCUGGAUCUAGGUGAGAGCUGCAGACCUGUCUCUUCUCCUCAGUGCAUGGACAAAGCACAGCACACAGAGUGGCAAGAAGGGAUGCCAAUCAGACUUCUGCCUUAACGAAUAGGCAUUUAUAACAGUGAGAGCCAUCCAGGCCGCUAGCGUCUGGAAUACCUGCGUCCUAAGAAAUCCAAUAUGAAAAAGAAAAAAAAAAAAGAGGAUGAGUCAGCUUCAUAAAGUUCAAUCAAAACCCUAAGGCCCAGAUCCACAAAGGGAUUUAGGUGAGACCAUGCUGAGGCCUUGUCAGUCUGCAGUGCUUCUUACCCAUACCUUCUGCCUUCCAGGAGACUGUCCUAAUCAUUAAGUAUAAGCAGGUAUGCAGGAAGGAACAGGGCAGUAUUGGAGUAAAUAAAAUGACCCUGUGGCCUCA
RNAcentral lists this long non-coding RNA (561 nucleotides) under Crocodylus porosus (Australian saltwater crocodile). RNAcentral describes it as "lncRNA (ENSCPRG00005015128.1)". The record is from RNAcentral. Lineage: Eukaryota; Metazoa; Chordata; Crocodylia; Crocodylidae.